Molecule: unclassified non-coding RNA, 337 nt
Filed under: soil metagenome
Description: partial contains 5.8S ribosomal RNA, internal transcribed spacer 2, and large subunit ribosomal RNA
Rfam family: 5.8S ribosomal RNA (bases 1-120)
Source: RNAcentral
GAUGAAGAACGUAGCGAAAUGCGAUAAGUAGUGUGAAUUGCAGAAUUCAGUGAAUCAUCGAAUCUUUGAACGCACAUUGCGCCCCUUGGUAUUCCAUGGGGCAUGCCUGUUCGAGCGUCAUUUGUACCUUCAAGCUCUGCUUGGUGUUGGGUGUUUGUCUCGCCUCUGCGUGUAGACUCGCCUCAAAACAAUUGGCAGCCGGCGUAUUGAUUUCGGAGCGCAGUACAUCUCGCGCUUUGCACUCAUAACGACGACGUCCAAAAGUACAUUUUUACACUCUUGACCUCGGAUCAGGUAGGGAUACCCGCUGAACUUAAGCAUAUCAAUAAGCGGGGGA